RNAcentral lists this ribosomal RNA (253 nucleotides) under uncultured bacterium. Its description in RNAcentral is "partial 16S ribosomal RNA". It matches the Rfam family "Bacterial small subunit ribosomal RNA", at positions 524 to 776 of the family's 1533-position model. The record is from RNAcentral.
UACGUAGGGCGCAAGCGUUGUCCGGAAUUAUUGGGCGUAAAGAGCUCGUAGGCGGCCAGUUGCGUCCGCUGUGAAAUCCCGGGGCUUAACCCCGGGCGUGCAGUGGAUACGGGCUGGCUGGAGGCAGGCAGGGGAGAACGGAAUUCCCGGUGUAGCGGUGAAAUGCGUAGAUAUGUGGAAGAAUACCGGUGGUGAAGACGGUUUUCUGUACUAAACCUGACGCUGAGGCGCGAAAGCUAGGGGAGCAAACAGG